UAUUAGGUUGGUGCAAAAUAUUAGGUUUUGCCAUUACUUUAAUAGCAAAAACUGUAAUUACUUUUGUACCAACCUAAUA
This 79-nucleotide microRNA precursor is filed under the name Nomascus leucogenys (northern white-cheeked gibbon). Its description in RNAcentral is "miRNA (ENSNLEG00000034375.1)". Lineage: Eukaryota; Metazoa; Chordata; Mammalia; Primates; Hylobatidae. The record is from RNAcentral.